This 154-nucleotide long non-coding RNA is filed under the name Macaca fascicularis (crab-eating macaque). RNAcentral describes it as "lncRNA (ENSMFAG00000050182.1)". The record is from RNAcentral. Lineage: Eukaryota; Metazoa; Chordata; Mammalia; Primates; Cercopithecidae.
UAGGGGAAUGGAGAAAGUCUUUUGAAGAUCUGGUGGGAAGGCAGACCUGACAAGGAUCCGUGCCUGUGUGCUGAGGGCAGCCACCAGAUUUCCCUUCUCCAGAGGCAAAUGCAAUCCUGACAAUUAGUUAUUGACGGGACAAAUACAUCCUGCA